Pelobates cultripes (western spadefoot toad) is the source of this 2701-nucleotide non-coding RNA. The record is from the annotation of a GenBank genome assembly. NCBI's taxonomy places the organism in Eukaryota, Metazoa, Chordata, Amphibia, Anura, Pelobatidae.
CGUGCCAUAGCUUCGCCAUCACUGUUAUAGGGGAAUAAUUACUAUCCUUAGUCUCUUCAGCACACUCAGGUCCUAUGAUUAUAAUUCUAUAGGCAAUAUCACGGAAUUCACUAAAUAGAUUAUCUACUAUCAUCUACUUGUACAACUGACUGUGUUGCCCUUCUACAUGUCAUCAUAAUCUAAUACUGUUUAGAAGCCACUUAUAUUUUAGGGUUGUCUUUUCCUUUAUUAAACUGCACCUUGAUUUCAGGUCCAAGACAGCAUUCUAUUACCAGUCAAUUACUGGCUUGUUUUGUCUACAGGUUUCAAUCAGGUACAGAUACUUUUCAUUCAUUUACUGCCUCAUCAAGGCCACGAAUUUACACGUUGGGGUAUUGUGGUACGGGGGCUAUACGUUUACUCAAACUCGCUAUCUAUGGACAGUCGUCCUGUUUCAUACAAGCCUCACUCUUAACACCCUCAUCUCCCCCUCUGAUACUAUCAUGCUUUUCUUGGCACAACGCCUUCCUGAAAAUCUCCCUUCAGGGUUAUAUAAAUGCUAUCCUGAGUUUCUUCAGUACCCUCAGGGUCUAUGGUUACUAUGCUAUUAUCCACAUCUCCAACAACUACACUGGGUUGCUCAUACUUUUCUCUCUCUUCUAUCCCACGUCCACAAUUCCUCCUCUUCUUCUUAUCUUUUUUUUUUUUACCUCCCUGUAAUAUGAACCUUACGGUUCCUAUCAACCUCGACUCAGUUUGCUGAAUACGUUAUAUAUAGGCCCUUCACACACGCUCAUUCCCUCCACCCCACAGAAAUGGCCCCCCUCAUCACCUUUCACACCUCCUCACGGUCUGGGUACUCACCCGCUUAUUUGCAAUGAUUUUUACCAUAUGUAGGUCUGCCAACUAUGGGCUACUUCACAUAUGUGCUAUAUGCCUUGGGACUCAUGUCAACACAGUCUGCCCAAAAACAUUGUAUCAUGAGUUCAGAACUUUCAUCUUAACGUUGUCAGGAGUCAUGUCCGUCCAGCACUUGGUGGUAUAUUCAUUACACGGGUUCUAUACUAGGUGGGGGUCACUCACACUGUGCACCCUAAAUGUCCAUAUCUCCUCAGCUAAUCACGUAUUAUUUAAUGUGUGCCACCGGAUAUACUAAUAAACAUCGCCUCGCCAUUAUUCUGUCUGCUCCGCUUUCAGUCACAUCCUCUGCCUUAAAAAUCAUCACCCAAUUCUCUCGAUACUAUAUCACUAGGGAUUUGUAGCAAUUAUGGGCAGGCGUAACUACUUGGCCUAGCAGCUAGCAGGACGGAGAUCUCCAACUCCUCCACGUGACCAUUCAUCUCUACAAACUAUUGGUUGGGGACUGCCGGUUAAGUGGCGCUCAGUCUAUGGCAAUACCGGCCUUAGUCAAGCUUACCAAUAGAGGUAGCUGCAUUAACGGACAGACCCCUAGUCAAGCAGGCUAGUUGAAGGUUAGGCUGACUGCAUGGCAGUCUGCAACAUAUUCAGUACAAUCAUUCACCUUCUUAACCUUGGGGUAGAUGGUUCACAGACUGACGGAAACAGGGUUAGAAGGUCCUUUUGGCAUGGCAGUCCGGGUCAGGUAGAAGGGAGUCAAUAGAGCUCGGAAUUGAGUUCAUCCGCCUUGUUCCGACCAACUCCCAAUUUGUACAGUUAAACCACUAUCCUAGGUGGAUACAUACACAUAACUAGUAGGGAUUCCUGGUCAAGAGUCAAUUGGCCUAGUACCUCACCCAACUUACAACACCCGAUUCCUUGUCAUCACGGUUACUUUCCGCAUUUCAUAAUCUGCAUUUUAACGCCCUCAUUCGGUCACCCGGCUAUUGGGACUCGACAACAAGUGAUCACCUAUAGCGUUUUCAAUUGCACUAAGAAUACGUACGACAGAACAUGACAUUCUUACAAGACUCAGUGGAACACAACAUUCACAGGCACAUCGUACAAUUGUAGUCUAUUCUGCUUUUUGCCACCUUUUAUUCCAACCUUCAUACAACACGAUCGCACUAUACCAAACUGACAUACAAUAACACGUUCUGACAAGCCUUUCAAACCAUACCCCGUCUUAACAUAAGAUAUAAAAAGAUAAAUACGCAGCCCCAGGGAACCCCGCGCCCCCCCCCCACAGAUGGGGACUGACAUCUGGUACGUGCAAUACCAUGGGCACGGGCGAUGGGACCCCCCGCCUCUUCACACCUCCCUACCCAUCCCUCCUCCAACCCGCUUCCUCCUCCUCAUCCCCCCUCUCUCUUUCUCUUACUUCUUACUCAUUUUUCACUCAUCUUCUUUCUAAAUUUUCCAACAAUAUUUUCUAUACGAAUUGAAUAACAGACGCAGCCCUCCUCAACCCGAGAUUGCUAACAGCUGUGUCACUCACACUCACAUAUCAAAAUGGAAGCAAACACCUCUAUCAUGGGAUCACACAACACGAAUAAGGCACACUCAGGAACGGCAACUGACCAAUAACGACGGACCAAUAGCCUUUACCAUCCCAAAGAGAAAAGAGCCAGGGGUGAUAAGGAAAUAUUAAAGGAACACAAAAGGCAGACACAAAGUACAAACAUACGAAUAUUCCUCUACUCGAGCUGCAAACCGGUCACCCAUAUGAAUAUUCUAACGUGUUAACCACGAUCAAAUACCAUAUAGGUAUAAUACGUAACAUUGUUCAAGUGAUGUUCACACAUUCUACGAUGGGACCUGCGCG